CAACUUUCAACAGUGGAUGUCUAGGCUCGCACAUCGAUGGAGGACGCUGCGGACUGCGAUACGUAAUGCGAUUUGAAGAAUCAGUGAGUCACCGAAAUUUGGAACGCAUAUUGAACUUGCGGGUUAGCCCUGGGAGUAUGUUUGUUCCAGUGUCCGUA
Molecule: ribosomal RNA, 158 nt
Filed under: Achlya bisexualis
Lineage: Eukaryota; Oomycota; Saprolegniomycetes; Saprolegniales; Achlyaceae
Description: 5.8S ribosomal RNA
Rfam family: 5.8S ribosomal RNA
About the family: 5.8S ribosomal RNA (5.8S rRNA) is a component of the large subunit of the eukaryotic ribosome. It is transcribed by RNA polymerase I as part of the 45S precursor that also contains 18S and 28S rRNA. Functionally, it is thought that 5.8S rRNA may be involved in ribosome translocation.
Source: RNAcentral